This is a long non-coding RNA of Oryzias melastigma (Indian medaka), 267 nucleotides long. RefSeq lists it as uncharacterized. The record is from RefSeq and is a predicted model, not a curated record. Lineage: Eukaryota; Metazoa; Chordata; Actinopteri; Beloniformes; Adrianichthyidae. The transcript is spliced from 3 exons.
UUAUAAAGAAGAUCACAGAUGAAGAUGCUGGAAGAUACAACUGCAGACAGUUCAAAUCAGGACAUGAGGAGACAGAUUUUCAGAUUGAACUGACUGUUCAAAAAGAUGUCAGAUCAAAGAGUAAAACACCCAAAUCAACAUUCAAACCAUCUUCUGCAUCAACUUCUUCAACUAAAUCCACAACAACCACAGGAUCAGUUCUGUCAACAUUCAAACCAUCAACUACAACAGAUCAAGUCUCUAAAACAGACAUGACAGCAGGGAUCA